RNAcentral lists this long non-coding RNA (404 nucleotides) under Elaeis guineensis (African oil palm). RNAcentral describes it as "long non-coding RNA (EGUI_LNC044483)". The record is from RNAcentral. Lineage: Eukaryota; Viridiplantae; Streptophyta; Magnoliopsida; Arecales; Arecaceae.
GCUUAGUUCUUUAAAAUAUGGGGUGUUUUCUGUGUGACUACUACUUCUCCCGUAUGGGUUGUACUACCCUUUCUUUCACUAGAUGGCGAUCUGCUUCUUUCAACCAAAAAAAAAAAAGGAAAAUGCUUAUCAAUAAUUGAUAUAUCUAGCCCAAUUAACUGAACCUUGAAAUGUUCAUAAACCGGACCAAACCUGGAAUUAGUGUUCCAGUUUCUUCAAGGUUCUCUCUCACAGCAACUUUCCCAGCUUUCCUCGGUAACACUGCUGACUCACAGGUCUGCACCCAAAAUUUAAUAAGAAAUUAACACUAAAAUUUAGUGAAGAUAACAGACGAUACAGGUCCCGUGGAAGAGCUAAAAGCAUAAAAUUGAAGAGCGUUGGGCCCCUUAGUUCUGAGAAAGCAU